This is a long non-coding RNA of Aphis gossypii (cotton aphid), 726 nucleotides long. RefSeq lists it as uncharacterized. Lineage: Eukaryota; Metazoa; Arthropoda; Insecta; Hemiptera; Aphididae. The transcript is spliced from 4 exons. The record is from RefSeq and is a predicted model, not a curated record.
CUAUAGUCGUGGUCCCUGAACUACAACUGUUCCUGACCAGCUAUAUCUUUGUAAUAGCACAGAAUAAUGCUAUGGUACUAUGAUAUAAGUUAGUGAUAAACUGAUAACUGAUAAUGAUAACAACGGGUAUAUUAUAUUAAUAUUUUAAAUAAAAAACCGACACGGUCACAUUAAAAACAAAUGAAAUAAUAAGAAAAAAAAUUAUAUUAUAGGAUUCGCGAGACAGUACCUGAUCGAUCGUCUAUAAUAUAUUUCAAAACGUUGUACAAACGCAAUUCACCAGUCAAAAUUACGAACACCGAAUGAGCAAUAGUGAACGGUUAUUGCGAAAUACAGGUAAAAUAAAUAAAUGUCGUUGAUUAUAGACCUAUAGUACUUUGCUCUUACGACAUUAACAUACGUGGACGCGGAUAAUAUUAUUCAGAAAUUAGGGACAAGACUGUUUUUAAUUUAACAACCCUACUAUUAAAAUGGAAAAGAAGAACAACUGGGUGAUUCCAGUAAAAUCCAUAAUAACAAAACUGUAAUCGAGGAAAAAAACUGUUGAGCAGGACCCAUCAACCAGUACACGGACCAUAAUACAAGGAAACCCCAAACCCAUCACAGUGGAACAGAGGAUUGAAAAUAGUAAUAUCAUGGAAUACAAACACAGGAAUUCCAAUAAAUACCAACACUACAUACAGAGAGACUUAUGAAUUACCGCCGAAACAACUAAAAUAGUAACCA